AAUUCCACUCCUGGGUAUAUGCCCAGAAGAAUCAAAAGCAGGGAUUUGAACAGAAAUCUGUACACCAAUGUUCAUAGCAGCAUUAGCCACAAUAGCUUAAAGCUGGAAACAACCUGCUAUGGUCUGAAUGUCUGUUCCCCCUCAAAAUUUGUAUGUUGAAAUCCUAAUGCCCAGUGUGAUGGUAUCAGGAGGUGGGGCCUCUGGGAGGUGAUCAGGUCAUGAGGGUGGAGCCUCACAAAUGGCAUCAGUGCCCUUGUAAAAGAAGCCCCAGACCUCCCUCACCCGUCCCAUCACCUGAGGACACAGCGAGAAGCCAGCCUUCUGCAACUGGAAGGGGGCCCUCGCCAGAACCCACCAUGCUGGCACCUUGAUCUUGGACUUCCAGCCUCCAGAAUGCAUGGAACAUGGCGUGAUGGCUCGAACUCCAGCAGCCAUCUAGAAACCACGAGGCUAAGUCAGCGCUGGGGGUGCUGAGCAGAAAGAGAAGGAGCCUGAGACGCCCAGGGCACUUGGAGCUGCUGUACACACGAGGUGCGAUGCUAGUCCCCAGACUUCACGUUACAGGACAGAAGAGAAUGCACCUCUGCUGUAUUCCAGUGUUUGUGAGGUCUCUGCUACCUGCUGAACACGAUUCCUAACUGAUUCAGCACCUUAACCCCAUUGUUAUUAUUGUUGCUAUUGGUUUUAUGACCCAGAAAGGGGCACUCUAGGCCAGAGUUGGUCUGACAAUGUCAGAAACACCUGGAAGACUGGAGAUGUAAAAUGAGUUAUGCGCAGGCCUAAUGGAUAGUCACUAGAAGCCGGAGGAUCCGGUGAAACAGCCCUGCCCGGCCCACUGCCACAGACGCCGUCAUGGAACACGGAGACAUCGAGGCCUGUCCCCCGAGCGGGCAUGUUGAUUGACGCGCUUCCCCCUCAGCAGCUCGAGCGUGACGAGUUUUCUGCUCCAUGGAGGAGGCAGAGGACUGGAGUGGCUGGCGUCUCCUUGCUCAAUUUAGAGGGAAGCUGAAGGUUUCUCCAACUGCAUUUCCUGAGUUAGGAGGAUGACACACUCUCCAGGACGGACGGACUGGCUCAUCAUCUGGAUCUGAUCAUUGGAAUGUCUCCCAAGAUGUGAAGAGGAAGUAGGCGAAACAUUCCCGGGAGAGGCCUCCUGGGGACGGCCCGGCGGCAGCAACUGAAGCUGGUCGUCACCAAGCGUGGGAAGAACUGCUGACUACUGCCUUAGUUCAGGUUCUUUUCAUGUCUGACUCGUCUCCCUUCCUGCACUCCCUUUCCCACUUCUCUCCAUCCUCC
This 1296-nucleotide long non-coding RNA is filed under the name Equus caballus (horse). RNAcentral describes it as "lncRNA (ENSECAG00000046961.1)". The record is from RNAcentral. Lineage: Eukaryota; Metazoa; Chordata; Mammalia; Perissodactyla; Equidae.